RNAcentral lists this long non-coding RNA (2523 nucleotides) under Podarcis lilfordi (Lilford's wall lizard). Lineage: Eukaryota; Metazoa; Chordata; Lepidosauria; Squamata; Lacertidae. The record is from RNAcentral.
AACCACACUUCUGGUCACAUCACCUUGAACAGGAUACCACAGAGCUGGGAAAGAUUCAGAAAAGGGCAACCAAACGGAUCAAGGCAGUCAGAACAACUCCCUUAUGAGGCAAGUUACAAGGUUUGGAGUUUUGGGGAGCUGAAAGUAAGGAGGGCCAAAGUGCUUUGAAUGAAUAGAAAUCAAAUGAAUGAAUGAAUGAUAUCCCACCGCUUUCCCUAAAUGAAUGAAUGAAUGAUAUCCCAGCUUUUCCCCUGAAUGAAUGAAUGAUAUCCCAUCGUUUUCCCUGAAUGAAUGAUAUCCCACCAUUUUCUCUGAAUGAAUGAAUGAGUGAAUGAAUGAAUGAAUGAAUGAAUGAUAUCCCACCGUUUUCCCUGACAGGAACUCAAGGCAGCCUACAGCUAAAAUUUUAUUUCCAUUUACUGUAGCUGUUGAAGGUGUUGUACAUGAUCCCUUCCCUCGCAUGUUUUUCUCCUCACAACAAUCUUGUAAUUGUCUCAAGAUGGUCAUGCGAGGUUUAUGGGGAAACUGGCAUUUGAACCUGAUAGAUUUCAAUGCUUUGCUGUGUUCAUUGGGCAGGCGGAAUGGGGGCAACGCAGAGCUCAAACAAUGAUCCUUAGCACUGAAACAGGAAUGUUGGAAGUGUGUGACCUCUUGAGAGUUCCAGAGGGCACAAAGCACCACAACUUGAAUUUUCUGAGCUUCACUGUGUGGGGACUACAGAGAGGUGUGUAUUGGAAUUGCAUUUAGAAGUCUGGUUCUGUACUCCCCCACACCAUCACCUCAAUCUCACUAAACAGGUGGGGAGGCCGUGGUACACCUCAGGUACCAAAAUGUCUUAGGCCGGCACAGAAAUAUAUACUCCAUCCAUCCUUUCCCUGCCCCCUCCAAUGGCUAGCACAACACAGAGCUCCCCAGGGUACCUUCCAGGGAACAAUGAGCUGCCUAUGCUAUGACUGAGCUUUUAGUCACGCCAGCCGGACCCCACAGAAGCUCCUCAGAAACCACUCAUGAUGUAUCAUCGACUCAGGCAACAGGGGCAGGAAAAUAAUAAUAAUAAUAAUAAUAAUAAUAAUAAUAAUAAUAAUUUUAUUUUUACCCCAUCCAUCUGGCUAGGUUUCCCCAGCCACUGUGGGUGGCUUCCAACAAAAUAUUAAAAAUACAAUAAAGCAGUGAACAGGGCUGCCUUCAGAUGUCUUCUAAAAGUCAGAUAGUUGUUUAUUUCCCUGACAUCUGGAGGGAGGGCGUUCCACAGGGCGGGUGCCACUACCAAAAAGGCCCUCUGCAUGGUUCCCUGUAACUUGGCUUCUCACAGGGAGGGAACCGCCAGAAGGCCCUCAGACCUGGACCUCUGUGUCCAGGCAGAACGAUGGCGAUGGAGAUGCUCCUUCAGAUAUAUUGGGUUGAGGCUGUUUAGGAAAGAUCAGAGAGAGGACAUUUCCCCAUCCUCAGGCCCCAUCUCUUCAUCUUAGUCUAAUUAUUUGCUCUAGGAAGCAGGCAAUCAUCAUUUGGACCCUGUUCUCUUCGAGUUUGCUCUGAAUCACACAAUGACUUAUUUGCAAGAUCUGAAGAGCUUGCCUUAUCCUACUUUGAGUUUGCAGUAUAGAUCCCAUGGAAGUAAACAGGCUGGUUUCUAUGGUGGUAUACGAGGAAGAAGAUUCAUCUCUGUGUUUGUUUAUUACUGGUCAAAUUCUUUUAUUCCCACAAGGUCUCUCUUUCUCGCUAGCAACAAAGAAAAUCCCGGCAAGAGUUAUUAAGCAGAUAGCAGUCAACGACUUAUUUAACCAUAGUAUCUUUGAAUACUUAAAAAGUAGAGACAUCACCUUGCCAACAAAGGUCCGUAUAGUAAAAGCUUUUCCCAGUAGUGAUGUAUGGAAGUGAGAGCUGGAUCAUAAAGAAGGCUGAUCGAUGAAGAAUUGAUGCUUUUGAAUUAUGGUGCUGGAGGAGACUCUUGAGAGUCCCAUGGACUGCAAGAAGAUCCAACCUACCCAUUCUGAAGGAAAUCAGCCCUGAGUGCUCACUGGAAGGACAGAUCCUGAUGCUGAGGCUCCAAGACUUUGGCCACCUCAUGAGAAGAGAAGACUCCCUGGAAAAGACCCUGAUGUUGGGAAAGAUGGAGGGCACAAGGAGAAGGGGACGACAGAGGACGAGAUGGUUGGAUAGUGUUCGUGAAGCUACCAGCAUGAGUUUGACCAAACUGCGGGAGGCAGUGGAAGACAGAAGUGCCUGGCGUGCUCUGGUCCAGGGGGUCAUGAAGAGUCGGACAUGGCUAAACGACUAAACAACAACAACAUCUAUGAAUAAUUGAUGUUUUUUAUCUGUAUUAAAUCUUACCUUUUCAAUAUGUAAGUUCUAUAUAUGUGGCUGGGGAAAUCCAGCCAGAUGGGCAGGGUAUAAUUAAUAAAAUUACCACCAUCAUGUGAUUUACGUAGUAUUUUAAAGACUAGGCAGCAGUGUGAUUUUAUGGAGUAUUUUGAACUGUUGGGUUCUGUACCAUACUUAUCUUAUAUGUGAAUGACCUAUGGC